GCCAGGCAUGGUGGCGGGUGCCUGUAAUCCCAGCUACUCUGGAGGCUGAGGCAGGAGAAUCGCUUGAGCCCAGGAGGCAGAGGUUGCAGUGAGCCGAGAUCACGCUGCUGCACUCUAGCCUGGGCAACAGAGCAAGAUUCUGUCUCAA
This is an unclassified non-coding RNA of Pongo abelii (Sumatran orangutan), 148 nucleotides long. It matches the Rfam family "Metazoan signal recognition particle RNA". From Rfam's summary of the family: The signal recognition particle (SRP) is a universally conserved ribonucleoprotein. It is involved in the co-translational targeting of proteins to membranes. NCBI's taxonomy places the organism in Eukaryota, Metazoa, Chordata, Mammalia, Primates, Hominidae. The record is from Ensembl.